AGGGUUUGAUCAUGGCUCAGAACGUACGCUGGCGGCACGCCUAACACAUGCAAGUCGAACGCAGUAGCAAUACUGAGUGGCAAACGGGUGAGUAUAAUGUGGGAAUCUGCCUUUUGGUUUGGAAUAACACGGGGAAACUUGUGCUAAUACCGGAUAAGCCCUUACGGGGAAAGUUUUAACGCCGAAAGAUGAGCCCGCACUUGAUUAGCUAGUUGGUAAGGUAAUGGCUUACCAAGGCAACGAUCAAUAGCUGUUCUUAGAGGAAGACCAGCCACAUUGGGACUGAGACACGGCCCAAACUCCUACGGGAGGCAGCAGUGGGGAAUCUUGCACAAUGGGGGAAACCCUGAUGCAGCGAUGCCGCGUGAGUGAAGAAGGCCCUUGGGUUGUAAAGCUCUUUCGUCGGGGAAGAAAAUGACUGUACCCGAAUAAGAAGGUCCGGCUAACUUCGUGCCAGCAGCCGCGGUAAUACGAAGGGACCUAGCGUAGUUCGGAAUUACUGGGCUUAAAGAGUUCGUAGGUGGUUGAAAAAGUUAGUGGUGAAAUCCCAGAGCUUAACUCUGGAACUGCCAUUAAAACUUUUCAGCUAGAGUAUGAUAGAGGAAAGCAGAAUUUCUAGUGUAGAGGUGAAAUUCGUAGAUAUUAGAAAGAAUACCAAUUGCGAAGGCAGCUUUCUGGAUCAUUACUGACACUGAGGAACGAAAGCAUGGGUAGCGAAGAGGAUUAGAUACCCUCGUAGUCCAUGCCGUAAACGAUGUGUGUUAGACGUUGGAAAUUUAUUUUCAGUGUCGCAGCGAAAGCGAUAAACACACCGCCUGGGGAGUACGACCGCAAGGUUAAAACUCAAAUGAAUUGACGGGGACCCGCACAAGUAGUGGAGCAUGUGGUUUAAUUCGAAGAUACGCGCAGAACCUUACCAACACUUGACAUGUUCGUCGCGACUCUAAGAGAUUAGAGUUUUCGGUUCGGCCGGACGAAACACAGGUGCUGCAUGGCUGUCGUCAGCUCGUGUCGUGAGAUGUUGGGUUAAGUCCCGCAACGAGCGCAACCCUCACUUUUAGUUGCCAUCAUUAAGUUGGGCACUCUGAAAGAACUGCCAGUGAUAAGCUGGAGGAAGGUGGGGAUGACGUCAAGUCCUCAUGGCCCUUACGUGUUGGGCUACACACGUGCUACAAUGGUAUCUACAACAGGAAGCAAGACUGCGAGGUCAAGCAAAUCCUUAAAAGAUACCUCAGUUCGGAUUGCACUCUGCAACUCGAGUGCAUGAAGCUGGAAUUACUAGUAAUCGUGGAUCAGCGUGCCACGGUGAAUGCGUUCCCGGGUCUUGUACACACCGCCCGUCACACCAUGGGAGUUGGUUCUACCUUAAGGCAAGGUUUCAAACCCUUGACCACGGUAUAGUCAGCGACUGGGGUGAAGUCAUAACAAGGUAGCCG
This 1436-nucleotide ribosomal RNA is filed under the name uncultured bacterium. Its description in RNAcentral is "16S ribosomal RNA". It matches the Rfam family "Bacterial small subunit ribosomal RNA". The record is from RNAcentral.